RNAcentral lists this ribosomal RNA (431 nucleotides) under uncultured bacterium. RNAcentral's name for it is "partial 16S ribosomal RNA". It matches the Rfam family "Bacterial small subunit ribosomal RNA", at positions 338 to 766 of the family's 1533-position model. The record is from RNAcentral.
CCUACGGGUGGCAGCAGUGAGGAAUAUUGGUCAAUGGGCGCGAGCCUGAACCAGCCAAGUAGCGUGAAGGAUGACUGCCCUACGGGUUGUAAACUUCUUUUAUAAAGGAAUAAAGUGAGGCACGUGUGCCUUUUUGUAUGUACUUUAUGAAUAAGGAUCGGCUAACUCCGUGCCAGCAGCCGCGGUAAUACGGAGGAUCCGAGCGUUCUCCGGAUUUAUUGGGUUUAAAGGGAGCGUAGAUGGGUUGUUAAGUCAGUGGUGAAAGUUUGCGGCUCAACCGUAAGAUUGCAAUUGAUACUGGCAGUGUUGAGUGCAGUGGAGGGAGGCGGAGUUCGUGGUGUAGCGGUGAAAUGCUUAGAUAGCACGAGGGGCACCGAGUGCGAGAGGAGCUUACUAAGCUGCCACUGUCAUUGAUACUCGAGAGUGUGGGU